Long non-coding RNA from Hemicordylus capensis (graceful crag lizard), 855 nucleotides. RefSeq lists it as uncharacterized. NCBI's taxonomy places the organism in Eukaryota, Metazoa, Chordata, Lepidosauria, Squamata, Cordylidae. The record is from RefSeq and is a predicted model, not a curated record. The transcript has 6 exons.
CCCAUCGCGGAGGCGGAGCGAAUGUCACCGUGCCGGCGGGGAAGGAGAGGCGAGGAAGAGCCGGAGGGGGGCGGCACGGCAACAGGAACAGCCCCGCUGAAUCUUUUUAACCAGAGAGGUGUUAUGCGCAUGCCCAUGCAAGGUCUUUCAGGGAGGCAGUGGAUGUCCUGAAUCGGGGAUUGGAGGCUGUGAUGGACUGGAUGUGGGCUAAUAAACUGAGACUGAAUCCGGACAAGACGGAGGUGUUUCCAUGGUUUCUUGUUGCCCUUUGAUCUGAAUAAAUAGCCACUCAUUGAAGAAUCUUCUGUACUUGCUGAUACCUACAUUUAAGCAAAUAUGGGCUUCUUUGUGACAAUUUCCUUUCCAUAUGGCAAGAUGGGAUACUAUGCAACACUGUAGACAAGGCACUGGAUGGAGAUCUGUGAUUUAUUGGAGACCCGUUUUUGGAAGGAGUGCAAAGGAAUUUGCCCAAAUUACUGAAUGUAUGAAGCUGAAAGCAGUACAGUCUUUCUUUCUCGAAGAUAAGGAAAUAUCCAAUACUGCAUUUUUUUUCCACACUGCCUAUUUUUUUUUUUUACAAGUUUGUUAAUAUAACUCAGUAUACAACGUGUCUGUGGGUGCUACUUGGUCAUGGACUUUGCACAUCUGAAAAAGCAGUCAUUUUUUUCAAGGAAUUUAUUCCUAAUGCUGAACUUGGAGUGGAACAUUCUUCAAGAAGAAAAGGCUACAUAAAAGCCACCAAAUGGGAGGGGAAAGAUGCUGUAAUGCACACCCAGAAGAAAAAUUCAUGAAGCCACAGUGAGAGGGAAAACAUUGUCCAGACUGCAAUGUUAAUUAUUAAAAACCAUUAGCUGU